This 138-nucleotide small nucleolar RNA is filed under the name Ornithorhynchus anatinus (platypus). The record is from RNAcentral. Lineage: Eukaryota; Metazoa; Chordata; Mammalia; Monotremata; Ornithorhynchidae.
GCCCUAUUGGGAUCGGACCUGGAGAGUUUCUAGUACUCUACCAGUCUCGGCUAUGGGAGGGAGAGUCAAGCAAAGGCCUGGCCAUUCCCUUCCUAGCUUGGCCAGUGGCUAGCGAGUGGAAGGCCAUCUGCUACAAGU